Molecule: non-coding RNA, 28 nt
Filed under: Oceanospirillum linum
Lineage: Bacteria; Pseudomonadati; Pseudomonadota; Gammaproteobacteria; Oceanospirillales; Oceanospirillaceae
Source: RNAcentral
GUUCACUGCCGCGCAGGCGGUUUAGAAA